CGCUCUUUGUAACUUUUAGAUAGAGAGUCGUGCCUGCCCAGUGAAUUUUCAACGGCCGCAGUACCCUGACUGUGCUAAGGUAGCAUAAUCACUUGUUUUUUAAUUGAAAGCUUGUAUGAAUGGCUUGACGUAGGUAAAGCUGUCUCUUUUAUAUUAUCUAAAAAUUAAUUUUUAAGUGCAGAAGCUUAAAUAUAACCAAAAGACGAAAAGACCCUAUCGAGCUUAAAAAUUAUAAUUAAAUUAAAUUUAUAGCAAAAUGAUUUUUAAUUAAUUUUUUUUGUUGGGGCGACAAAAGAACAAAUAAAGCUUCUUUUUAUUAAAGAAAUUAAUAAAUUUUUUGAUCCAUAGUUUAUGAUUAAAAGAAAAAGCUACCGUAGGGAUAACAGCGUUAUUUUUUUAGAGAGUUCUUAUCGAAGAAAAAGUUUGCGACCUCGAUGUUGGAUUAAAGUAACUUUUAAGUGCAGAAGCUUAAAAAGUGGGUCUGUUCGACCCUUAAACCUUU
This 502-nucleotide ribosomal RNA is filed under the name Amicula vestita. RNAcentral describes it as "partial 16S ribosomal RNA". It matches the Rfam family "Bacterial large subunit ribosomal RNA", at positions 1817 to 2597 of the family's 2925-position model. Lineage: Eukaryota; Metazoa; Mollusca; Polyplacophora; Chitonida; Mopaliidae. The record is from RNAcentral.